This 253-nucleotide unclassified non-coding RNA is filed under the name uncultured Alphaproteobacteria bacterium. RNAcentral's name for it is "contains 16S-23S intergenic spacer region". It matches the Rfam family "Bacterial small subunit ribosomal RNA", at positions 524 to 776 of the family's 1533-position model. The record is from RNAcentral. Lineage: Bacteria; Pseudomonadati; Pseudomonadota; Alphaproteobacteria.
UACGGAGGGGGUUAGCGUUGUUCGGAAUUACUGGGCGUAAAGCGCACGUAGGCGGAUCUUUAAGUCAGGGGUGAAAUCCCGAGGCUCAACCUCGGAACUGCCUUUGAUACUGGGGAUCUCGAGUCCGGGAGAGGUGAGUGGAACUGCGAGUGUAGAGGUGAAAUUCGUAGAUAUUCGCAAGAACACCAGUGGCGAAGGCGGCUCACUGGCCCGGAACUGACGCUGAGGUGCGAAAGCGUGGGGAGCAAACAGG